Molecule: transfer-messenger RNA, 354 nt
Filed under: Gammaproteobacteria bacterium
Lineage: Bacteria; Pseudomonadati; Pseudomonadota; Gammaproteobacteria
Rfam family: transfer-messenger RNA
About the family: Bacterial tmRNA, also known as 10Sa RNA or SsrA, is named for its dual tRNA and mRNA-like properties. Its role is to liberate the mRNA from a stalled ribosome. To accomplish this part of the tmRNA is used as a reading frame that ends in a translation stop signal.
Source: RNAcentral
GGGGGCGACCGGUUUCGACGUGGGUUGCGAACCUUCAGGGGCGUGCCGAGGCGCAGUGGCCCUCGUUAAUAACUGCUGCAAAACUUAGUUGCCAACGACGACAACUACGCUCUGGCCGCUUAAUCCGGCCUAACCUCGGACCAGUUGGUGCCUAUGACACUGAACCCGGGGACGCGCUCAUAGGAUCGCGGUUCACCGUGCUACGGGGUGACACCGUUAAGAGACACCGUCGCUGGUCCGGCGUCUUCCCUGCUGCUCGGGUAGCGCCGGAUGAGAACCAAAGAGCCAGCUACGCGCGUAGAUCCUGAAGUCUAGGGCUUGCGGACGGGGGUUCGAUUCCCCCCGCCUCCACCA